Molecule: ribosomal RNA, 463 nt
Filed under: Staphylococcus aureus
Lineage: Bacteria; Bacillati; Bacillota; Bacilli; Caryophanales; Staphylococcaceae
Description: partial 23S ribosomal RNA
Rfam family: Bacterial large subunit ribosomal RNA
Source: RNAcentral
GUCGUAGACCCGAAACCAGGUGAUCUACCCUUGGUCAGGUUGAAGUUCAGGUAACACUGAAUGGAGGACCGAACCGACUUACGUUGAAAAGUGAGCGGAUGAACUGAGGGUAGCGGAGAAAUUCCAAUCGAACCUGGAGAUAGCUGGUUCUCUCCGAAAUAGCUUUAGGGCUAGCCUCAAGUGAUGAUUAUUGGAGGUAGAGCACUGUUUGGACGAGGGGCCCCUCUCGGGUUACCGAAUUCAGACAAACUCCGAAUGCCAAUUAAUUUAACUUGGGAGUCAGAACAUGGGUGAUAAGGUCCGUGUUCGAAAGGGAAACAGCCCAGACCACCAGCUAAGGUCCCAAAAUAUAUGUUAAGUGGAAAAGGAUGUGGCGUUGCCCAGACAACUAGGAUGUUGGCUUAGAAGCAGCCAUCAUUUAAAGAGUGCGUAAUAGCUCACUAGUCGAGUGACACUGCGCCGA